CUGUUGUCGUCGCGGCAGCAGGAGCAGGGUGGUCUGUCGUCCCGCACUGGCGCUGCUACUGCUAGUGGCGCUGCUUCUCCUGCUGGGUCCGUGUUCGGCCGAGCUGAACGCCGGCGCGGGCCGGCGGCUGCUGGUGUCGCGGCCGUCGACGAGCCGGCAAAACAAGGCCGAGCAGCAGCAGCAGCAGCAGAUGCGGGUCGGCGGGAGGAACACGCCCUUCAAGCAGGCCGCCGCCAGCUUCGGCCGGAGGAUACCCAGAUCCGGCUGGAACCCCAUCCAGAACAGAUGAGAGGGACCGCGUCCUAG
Molecule: unclassified non-coding RNA, 306 nt
Filed under: Zea mays
Lineage: Eukaryota; Viridiplantae; Streptophyta; Magnoliopsida; Poales; Poaceae
Description: misc RNA Zm00001eb225980
Source: RNAcentral